GUGCUCUCUUCAGGAGUACAUUUACUAAAAUUGGAAUAAUUGAGAAGAUUAGCAUGGCUCCUGCCCAGUAACUACUAUGCCUUAAUCUUUUAAAGUCUUU
Cricetulus griseus (Chinese hamster) is the source of this 100-nucleotide small nuclear RNA. The record is from Ensembl. Lineage: Eukaryota; Metazoa; Chordata; Mammalia; Rodentia; Cricetidae.